Molecule: ribosomal RNA, 253 nt
Filed under: uncultured bacterium
Lineage: Bacteria
Description: partial 16S ribosomal RNA
Rfam family: Bacterial small subunit ribosomal RNA
Source: RNAcentral
UACGUAGGGGGCUAGCGUUGUCCGGAAUCAUUGGGCGUAAAGCGCGUGUAGGCGGUUCGGUAAGUCCGCUGUGAAAGUCGGGGGCUCAACCCUCGAAAGCCGGUGGAUACUGUCGGACUAGAGUGCGGAAGAGGCGACUGGAAUUCCUGGUGUAGCGGUGAAAUGCGCAGAUAUCAGGAGGAACACCGGUGGCGAAGGCGGGUCUCUGGGCCGAUAUCGACGCUGAGGAGCGAAAGCGUGGGGAGCGAACAGG